RNA transcript from Gymnodraco acuticeps, 1072 nucleotides. RefSeq lists it as uncharacterized. NCBI's taxonomy places the organism in Eukaryota, Metazoa, Chordata, Actinopteri, Perciformes, Bathydraconidae. The record is from RefSeq and is a predicted model, not a curated record. The transcript is spliced from 6 exons.
AUCAACACAAAUAGUCACCAUCACUCUUCAGCUUUAACCACAGAAAGAUUUGUUUACUUUUACUCUCUAUCCGGUUCUGCGUUUCUUCCCGUAACGUCGUUAAAUUGGCGACACAAUGGUUGAUUAACACCUUUUACGCACACCAUUGUUGCACGUUUAUUAAAUCCGAAGUGCUCUGCUGCAAAGUCAUUGUACUUUCAGCUACAGUGAAUAUUUGUAAAGUUCAAUGCAAUAGGCUGCGAUGCUGUCAAAUAAAGAGAAAAUGCUCAUUGUAGAAAUAUGGGAAAGUCUGACUCCUGUGGCUGAGGAAAUUGGAGCAGAUGCGCUUCUCAGGAUGUUUGCCUGUUUCCCGGGAAGCAAGACCUACUUCUCCCACCUGGACAUCAGCCGUGGCUCGCCCCACCUGCUCUCUCACGGGAAGAAGAUCGUUCUGGCUCUCGCAGAGGGAUCCAAAGACAUCAGCCAGCUGAUCGUCACCCUCACUCCUCUGCAGAUCAUGCACGCCUACCAGCUCCGGAUAGACCCCACCAACUUCAAGCUCUUGUCCCACUGUAUGCUCGUCGCCCUGUCCUGUCUCAUGCGCGAUGACUUCACAGCGGUUGCACACGCAGCGAUGGACAAGUACCUGUCAGCUUUCGCAGCCGUGCUCGCCGAGAAAUACAGAUGAGACCCAGGCCCAGUCCUCCACAGAUAAGCAUUUCUUUACCGAAAGACCGUGUGCUUCCCCUCUUCGGAUGUUCACCAACUUCACCCGGACCCAGGUGGGCUCUACUGUCUUCACCUGACCGAAGAUGGGCCUCCUACGGUCGGCUCACCGCAGAUUCCUGUGCAGCUUCAGAUCUGAGUCGUCUUAUUAGACUUCAUAUUUUCUUUUAUAUUAACAUGAAGAGCUGAACAACUAAUCCAUUGUACUUCCAUUUGAAAAAAUAUUUACUGUUUCAAUUAUAAUAAAGUGUUUAACCGAAAAUCUCUAAGGCUCAUUUUAAUUGAUAAUACUUUCAAUGAAUGUUUAAUACUGUAAUGCCUGAUCUGUCUGUGGUGCUGAAAUAAACGUGUUAAACAUUCAAACCUU